This 210-nucleotide long non-coding RNA is filed under the name Elaeis guineensis (African oil palm). RNAcentral's name for it is "long non-coding RNA (EGUI_LNC054997)". The record is from RNAcentral. Lineage: Eukaryota; Viridiplantae; Streptophyta; Magnoliopsida; Arecales; Arecaceae.
AACUCUUCAAUUUUAAGCAGAACGGUUCACCUUUUAUGCAUGAAUAAUGGCUGUACUUGAAAAUAUGAGCGUCACAACCACAUUGUAGGCCAGCUUGUGCUUUUGUGGUCCAAGCCUGGCCCUAGGAGUUUCAUGACAGUUGACAGACAUACGUUGCAAUACAUGAAAGCAAUAACUUUGUCCAAUUUGAGGAAUUAAUGAUAGCGGCCA